ACGAUGAUCCCGACUUGCUGGGGGAUUCCUGGCGAACGGGAAGAGUAACACGUGAGUAACCUGCCCUUGACUCUGGGAUAAGCCUGGCCAAACUGGGUCUAAUACCGGAUAUGACUCCUCAUCGCAUGGUGGGGGGUGGAAAGCUUUUGUGGUUUUGGAUGGACUCGCGGCCUAUCAGCUUGUUGGUGGGGUAAUGGCCUACCAAGGCGACGACGGGUAGCCGGCCUGAGAGGGUGACCGGCCACACUGGGACUGAGACACGGCCCAGACUCCUACGGGAGGCAGCAGUGGGGAAUAUUGCACAAUGGGCGCAAGCCUGAUGCAGCGACGCCGCGUGAGGGAUGACGGCCUUCGGGUUGUAAACCUCUUUCAGUAGGGAAGAAGCGUAAGUGACGGUACCUGCAGAAGAAGCGCCGGCUAACUACGUGCCAGCAGCCGCGGUAAUACGUAGGGCGCAAGCGUUAUCCGGAAUUAUUGGGCGUAAAGAGCUCGUAAGCGGUUUGUCGCGUCUGCUGUGAAAGACCGGGGCUCAACUCCGGUUCUGCAGUGGGUACGGGCAGACUAGAGUGCAGUAGGGGAGACUGGAAUUCCUGGUGUAGCGGUGAAAUGCGCAGAUAUCAGGAGGAACACCGAUGGCGAAGCAGGUCUCUGGGCUGUAACUGACGCUGAAGAACGAAAGCAUGGGGGAGCGAACAGGAUUA
Molecule: ribosomal RNA, 701 nt
Filed under: Paenarthrobacter nicotinovorans
Lineage: Bacteria; Bacillati; Actinomycetota; Actinomycetes; Micrococcales; Micrococcaceae
Description: bacterial SSU rRNA
Rfam family: Bacterial small subunit ribosomal RNA
Source: RNAcentral